CUCAAGAAUGCCUUUACAUUGAGCUUCAAAUUUGAUCUAAUCAACUCUGAUUCUGUUGGUUUGUGUUAUAAUUGGUUCCUCUACCUAUCAAGCUUCACUAAGUUUGCUCUUAAUGGCAUCAGUUCCUUCAUCAAGAAAUUUUUUUUCUAAAAAGAAUGCCUUAAGAUUCAUGAACAUCUCAUGUCCAUCAAGAAGGUAGAAGAAUUAUCUUUAAUAUAAUAUUUAUCAAACUAAGAUCC
RNAcentral lists this long non-coding RNA (239 nucleotides) under Elaeis guineensis (African oil palm). Its description in RNAcentral is "long non-coding RNA (EGUI_LNC073651)". The record is from RNAcentral. Lineage: Eukaryota; Viridiplantae; Streptophyta; Magnoliopsida; Arecales; Arecaceae.